GACGAACGCUGGCGGCGUGCCUAAUACAUGCAAGUCGAACGCUGAAGCGAGGAGCUUGCUCUUCUUGCGUGAGUUGCGAACGGGUGAGUAACGCGUGGAUAACCUGCCUUUUAGCGGGGGAUAACUACUGGAAACGGGAGCUAAUACCGCAUAACAAUGGAUGCCACAUGGCACUUUUGUGAAAGGCGCAAUUGCUCCACUACAUGGUGGACUUGCGGUGUAUUAGGUUGUAGGUGAGGUAACGGCUCACCUAGGGGACGAAACAUAGCCCAACUGAGAGGGGGGAUGGCCCACCUGGGAAUUGGAACAGGCCCAAGACCCCUAAGGAAGGAAGCAGAAGGGAACCUCGGGAAUGGGGGGAAAGCUUAACGGGGAAAGCCGCGUGGGGGAAGAAGGGUUUCGGGUUCGAAAGCCCUGGUUUAUGGGGAAAAACAGUUGUGGAGUGGAAUGUGCACGUUGUGACGGUAGCUUAUCAGAAAGCGACGGCUAACUACGUG
Molecule: ribosomal RNA, 497 nt
Filed under: uncultured bacterium
Lineage: Bacteria
Description: partial 16S ribosomal RNA
Rfam family: Bacterial small subunit ribosomal RNA
Source: RNAcentral